This 540-nucleotide ribosomal RNA is filed under the name uncultured Glomeromycotina. RNAcentral describes it as "SSU rRNA". It matches the Rfam family "Eukaryotic small subunit ribosomal RNA", at positions 552 to 1096 of the family's 1831-position model. Lineage: Eukaryota; Fungi; Glomeromycota. The record is from RNAcentral.
AGGGCAAGUCUGGUGCCAGCAGCCGCGGUAAUUCCAGCUCCAAUAGCGUAUAUUAAAGUUGUUGCAGUUAAAAAGCUCGUAGUUGAAUUUCGGGGUUCUACCGUUGGUCGGGCUAUUGUCUGUACUGGCGUGUAGAAUUUCUACCUUCUGGAGAACUAUCAUGUUAGUAAUUUAGCGUGGUAGGAAACCAGGACCUUUACCUUGAAAAAAUUAGAGUGUUCAAAGCAGGCUUAUGUCUGGAUACAUUAGCAUGGAAUAAUAAAAUAGGACGGUGGUCCUGUUUUGUUGGUUUCUGAAUCACCGUAAUGAUUAAUAGGGAUAGUUGGGGGCAUUAGUAUUCAAUUGUCAGAGGUGAAAUUCUUGGAUUUAUUGAAGACUAACUACUGCGAAAGCAUUUGCCAAGGAUGUUUUCAUUAAUCAAGAACGAAAGUUAGGGGAUCGAAGACGAUCAGAUACCGUCGUAGUCUUAACCAUAAACUAUGCCGACUAGGGAUCGGAUGAUGUUAAUUUUUUAAUGACUCAUUCGGCGCCUUACGGGAA